CCUACGGGAGGCAGCAGUGAGGAAUAUUGGUCAAUGGCCGAGAGGCUGAACCAGCCAAGUCGCGUGAGGGAAGACGGCCCUACGGGUUGUAAACCUCUUUUGUCGGGGAGCAAAGCGCUUCACGUGUGGCUCAUUGCGAGUACCCGAAGAAAAAGCAUCGGCUAACUCCGUGCCAGCAGCCGCGGUAAUACGGAGGAUGCGAGCGUUAUCCGGAUUUAUUGGGUUUAAAGGGUGCGCAGGCGGAGGUGCAAGUCAGCGGUAAAAUUGCGGGGCUCAACCCCGUCCUGCCGUUGAAACUGGAUGCCUUGAGUGCGCGAGAAGUAUGCGGAAUGCGUGGUGUAGCGGUGAAAUGCAUAGAUAUCACGCAGAACUCCGAUUGCGAAGGCAGCAUACCGGCGCGCAACUGACGCUCAUGCACGAAAGCGUGGGUAUCGAACAGGAUUAGAUACCCCAGUAGUC
Molecule: ribosomal RNA, 459 nt
Filed under: uncultured bacterium
Lineage: Bacteria
Description: partial 16S ribosomal RNA
Rfam family: Bacterial small subunit ribosomal RNA
Source: RNAcentral